GAUGAACGCNGGCGGCGUGCCUAAUACAUGCAAGUCGAGCGAACGGACGAGAAGCUUGCUUCUCUGAUGUUAGCGGCGGACGGGUGAGUAACACGUGGAUAACCUACCUAUAAGACUGGGAUAACUUCGGGAAACCGGAGCUAAUACCGGAUAAUAUUUUGAACCGCGUGGUUCAAAAGUGAAAGACGGUCUUGCUGUCACUUAUAGAUGGAUCCGCGCUGCAUUAGCUAGUUGGUAAGGUAACGGCUUACCAAGGCAACGAUGCAUAGCCGACCUGAGAGGGUGAUCGGCCACACUGGAACUGAGACACGGUCCAGACUCCUACGGGAGGCAGCAGUAGGGAAUCUUCCGCAAUGGGCGAAAGCCUGACGGAGCAACGCCGCGCGAGUGAUGAAGGUCUUCGGAUCGUAAAACUCUGUUAUUAGGGAAGAACAUAUGUGUAAGUAACUGUGCACAUCUUGACGGUACCUAAUCAGAAAGCCACGGCUAACUACGUGCCAGCAGCCGCGGUAAUACGUAGGUGGCAAGCGUUAUCCGGAAUUAUUGGGCGUAAAGCGCGCGUAGGCGGUUUUUUAAGUCUGAUGUGAAAGCCCACGGCUCAACCGUGGAGGGUCAUUGGAAACUGGAAAACUUGAGUGCAGAAGAGGAAAGUGGAAUUCCAUGUGUAGCGGUGAAAUGCGCAGAGAUAUGGAGGAACACCAGUGGCGAAGGCGACUCUCUGGUCUGUAACUGACGCUGAUGUGCGAAAGCGUGGGGAUCAAACAGG
Molecule: ribosomal RNA, 766 nt
Filed under: Staphylococcus aureus
Lineage: Bacteria; Bacillati; Bacillota; Bacilli; Caryophanales; Staphylococcaceae
Description: bacterial SSU rRNA
Rfam family: Bacterial small subunit ribosomal RNA
Source: RNAcentral